This 713-nucleotide ribosomal RNA is filed under the name uncultured bacterium. RNAcentral's name for it is "bacterial SSU rRNA". It matches the Rfam family "Bacterial small subunit ribosomal RNA", at positions 100 to 801 of the family's 1533-position model. The record is from RNAcentral.
GGUGAGGUAACACCGUGGGCAACCUGCCCUGCAGACUGGGAUAACUUCGGGAAACCGGAGCUAAUACCGGAUAACACCGAAAACCGNAUGGUUUUCGGUUGAAAGGCGGCUUUUAGCUGUCACUGCAGGAUGGGCCCGCGGCGCAUUAGCUAGUUGGUGAGGUAACGGCUCACCAAGGCGACGAUGCGUAGCCGACCUGAGAGGGUGACCGGCCACACUGGGACUGAGACACGGCCCAGACUCCUACGGGAGGCAGCAGUAGGGAAUCUUCCGCAAUGGACGAAAGUCUGACGGAGCAACGCCGCGUGAGCGAAGAAGGUCUUCGGAUCGUAAAGCUCUGUUGUCAGGGAAGAACAAGUACCGUUCGAACAGGGCGGUACCUUGACGGUACCUGACGAGGAAGCCACGGCUAACUACGUGCCAGCAGCCGCGGUNAUACGUAGGUGGCAAGCGUUGUCCGGAAUUAUUGGGCGUAAAGCGCGCGCAGGCGGUUCCUUAAGUCUGAUGUGAAAUCUCGCGGCUCAACCGCGAGCGGCCAUUGGAAACUGGGGAACUUGAGUGCAGGAGAGGGGAGCGGAAUUCCACGUGUAGCGGUGAAAUGCGUAGAGAUGUGGAGGAACACCAGUGGCGAAAGGCGGCUNUCUGGCCUGUAACUGACGCUGANCGCGAAAGCGUGGGGAGCGAACAGGAUUAGAUACCCUGNNGUCCACGCC